This 837-nucleotide long non-coding RNA is filed under the name Homo sapiens (human). RNAcentral's name for it is "HSALNT0088929". Lineage: Eukaryota; Metazoa; Chordata; Mammalia; Primates; Hominidae. The record is from RNAcentral.
GGUCGAGAAGUGAUUAAUAGGGUUGGACAGCUUCUCUCACGCAGCCAUCAGGGUAAAUUCUCAAGAUGCCAAACGAUGAAGCAGAACUUUUAUGGAGACCACUAACAUUUACUUUCAGUUCUUCCUGAGAAAAGUACCAAGGCAUAGGUUCCUUAAGUGAUCUUAAAUUGUCUCGUAAGCAUUUUAUAUGUGGGAAGCACUUAGGAAAUAAAUGUUCAAUGAAUGAAUUAAUGAAGGAAUGAAUGCAAAAACAGCUAUGAAAAAAAGCUUAAAAAGAUUCUGCCUGCUUAUGCAAGAUGCUAAUCAUAGCAUUCCAGAAUGCUAAUGGAGAAUUAGCCCAUUUUGAAUUUUGGGAAGAGGACCAGUCUGACCAUACAUACACACUUUUCUCAGCACAUGACAGACAGUAGCAUCCUAGCAGCCAUCCUGUAUUUUGAAGAUGAAUGAGUGACACCAAGGAUGAGAAAGUGAGUGUGGAGUCCUGGACUUCCCAUCUCCAGACCUCUUACAGGAAAGAGGAAAAGGAAACCUGUGUCUUCUUAAUGUCAUGAUUAUUUGGGUUUUUUGUUCAGAGAAUUCUGCCAAACCUAACACUCAUUUAAAAGCUUAUCAAGCAAUUAUUAUAAAUUUAUUGAGUGAGCACUUUCUAUUCUUAAAAUUUGGGAUUUGCCCUUUCAUUAAUAGUGCCAAGAAGACCUCAUCCUUCAAAGUUCAUUCAUUUUUAUUGAAGAGUAAUAGUUUAUUGCAACACAGUGAAAAGGUAACCUACAGAAAGAGAGAAAAAUAUUUGCAAACUAUAUAUCCUAUGUUGAUUAAUUCCCAAAAUAUCUAAGUAAU